GGAGAGGGUGUAGCUCAGUGGUAGAGCACGUGCUUAGUAUGCACGAGGUCAUGGGUUCAAUCCCCAGCACCUCCA
RNAcentral lists this transfer RNA (75 nucleotides) under Vicugna pacos (alpaca). RNAcentral's name for it is "tRNA-Thr (AGT) (tRNA-Thr-AGT-35-1)". It matches the Rfam family "tRNA". From Rfam's summary of the family: Transfer RNA (tRNA) molecules are approximately 80 nucleotides in length. Lineage: Eukaryota; Metazoa; Chordata; Mammalia; Artiodactyla; Camelidae. The record is from RNAcentral.